AGUGAGGCAGGGCGGGGCGGGGCGGCACGUGGAGCUGGGGCGAGCAUGGCGCGGUGCGGGAGACUGCGGGCGGGUACCGCCACUAAGCUGCGGCGGUGGCGGAAGGGACACAGCAGCGACUGCAAUCCCGAGACUCGGCGGCACCGCCUGGCCGCGCGAAGCCGUUUCUACAGCCGGCCUGCCGAGAAAAGCAAUCUGACGGUGGAUGCGGUGAAGCUGCACAAUGAGUUGCAGUCAGGAUCCCUGCGUGUGGAGCGGCCAACUGACAGCUCUCAGUUGCCCAUGGAGGAGGGUGAUGCUGAGGAGGCUGCCACCCAGAAGUCCUCCGGCACCUUCCUGAGCGGGCUGAGCGACUGCACCAAUGUUACCUUCAGCAAGGUGCAGCGCUUCUGGGAGUCCAACUCUGCUGCACACAAAGAGAUCUGUGCCGUGCUGGCAGCUGUGACAGAUGUGAUCCGCUCACAGGGAGGCAAAGAGACUGAGACUGAGUACUUUGCUGCACUGAUGACCACACUGGAGGCAGUGGAUUCCCCUGAGUCAGUGGCUGCUGUUGCGUACUUGCUUAACCUUGUCUUGAAGCGAGUCCCCAGUCCAGUACUCAUAAAGAAGUUCUCAGACGCUUCAAAAGCCUUCAUGAGUAUCAUAUCCUCACAGGCCUGCAGCAGCUCCACCUCUGCACUGCGAUGGGUCCUCUCAUGCCUGGCCACACUGCUGCGAAAACAGGAUUUGGCAGCGUGGAGCUACCCUGUCACCCUCCAGGUCUACCACGGCUUGCUGAGCUUCUGUGUUCACACCAAACCCAAGGUUCGGAAAGCAGCUCAGCACGGUGUGUGCUCUGUCCUGAGGGGGAGCGAGUUCAUGUUUGGAGAUGAGGCUCCUGAGCACCAUCCUGCGGCACCCUCCAGUGCCAAGUUCUGCGUGCAGGAGAUUGAAAAAGCUGGAGGCACCAAGGAGGCUACCACCACACUGCACGUGCUGGCCCUCCUGCGGGACCUGCUGCCCUGCUUCCCUGCGGCUGUGCUGAAGACAUGCUGUGAGACCCUGCUCAGAGUCAUGACCCUCAGCCAUGUGUUGGUGACAGCAUGUGCCAUGCAGGCCUUCCAUAGCCUAUUCAGUGCCCAGCCCAGCACGUCCUGCCUGCCAGCUGAGCUCAAUGCCCAGAUCAUCACCGCACUGUACGACUACGUGCCCAAUGCCAGUGACCUGCAGCCGCUGCUCACCUGGCUGUCCACCAUGGAGAGGGCACACGUCAACCUGGGCAGACUGCAGAAGGACCUGUGCUGGGCUCACCUGCCCCGUCUCUUCUCAGCCACCAUGAAUUGCUUCCUGUCCCCACACUCGCAGGUGGUGGCAGCUGCAGCACAGACCCUUGAGACCCUCCUGAAUGAGUGCAUUGCUCCCCACAUGGAUGAACUAGGCAAUGUCUCUGCAUCUGCUCCAGCCCCUGGCUCCUACCUUUGCAAGAUGUUCAGGUCGGUGGAGGAAGGCCUGACAUACCGUUUCCAUGCGGCAUGGGAUGGCGUGCUGCAAGUACUGGAGGUUUUCUUCGAGGUGUGUGGGAAGCAGUGCCAUCCCAUCAUGAAGAAGUGCCUGCAGUCCCUGUGUGACCUGCGCCUCUCUCCGCACUUCCCCUACACCACUGAGGUGGACCAGGCGGUGGGGGCUGCUGUUGGUGCCAUGGGCCCUGAGGUGCUGCUGGAAGCUGUUCCCCUGCAGAUCGACGGCAAGGAGGAGACUCUGGAUUUCCCCCGCAGCUGGCUGCUGCCUGUGCUGCGGGACUACGUGCAGGGCACACGGCUUGGCUUCUUCACCAGCUACUUCCUGCCCUUGGCAGCCACUCUGAAGAGCAGAGCCUUGGAGUUUGCCCAAGCUGGGAAGAGCCUUGAAUCCAAGAUCUAUGACACACUGCAGUGGCAGGUCUGGACCCUGCUGCCUGGCUUCUGCACCCGCCCCACAGACGUGGUGGAGGCUUUCAAGGGGCUGGCACGCACCCUGGGCAUGGCCAUUAGCGAGCGCCCGGACCUCCGCCCCACCGUGUGCCAGGCCCUACGCACCCUCAUCCACCACGGCUGUGGGACAGAUGCAGAGCGAGCAGAAGUGGGUCGUUUUGCCAAAAAUUUCCUGCCCAUCCUAUUCAACGUGUAUAGCCAACCUGAGGAGGAUGGGGGCAGCAGUGGUCAACGGCGCUCUGUGCUGGACACCGUGCGUGCCUAUCUGACCAUCACGGACCCACAGAUGGUGUGUGGGUUCCUGCAGAAAGCCAGUGAGAAACUGACCAGUCCUGAGAGCACAGAGUUUGCCAGGCUCUCCAUUCUGGACCUGGUUGUGGCAAUGUCUCCCUAUGCCAGUGAGCAGGCCCUAGGCUCCCUGUACCAGACUAUCCAGCCUUCCCUCCAGAGCAAGGAUCACAGCAUGCAGAAGAAGGCAUACCGUGUGCUGGAGGAAGUAUGUGCUGCCCCGCAUGCCCCGUGCCAGGCCUUUGUCCACUCACACCUGGAAGACUUGCAGGCAGUGCUGCUGGAUUCACUCAAGAGUGCAGCGUCCCCAGCCAAGAGGCCCCGGCUGAAGUGCCUGUUCCACAUUGUAAAGCAGCUCUCAGCUGAGCAUGAGCCCUUCAUCACUGCCCUGGUCCCAGAGGUCAUCCUGUGCACCAAGGAGGUGUCGGUGGGAGCCCGCAAGAAUGCCUUCAUGCUGCUGGUGGAGAUGGGACAUGCUUUCAUCCGCUUUGGGCCCACUCCCCAAGAGGCUAUGGAGCGGUUCCUGCUCUUGGUCUACGCGGGGCUGACGGGUUCGGUCACCAUGAUCAGCUGCACGGUGCUGGCACUCACACGCCUGUUCUUUGAGUUCAAAGAUUACAUGGAGCUGAGCGUGGUGGAGCAGCUGCUGCAGAACAUCUGCCUGCUGCUGGGCUCUCGCACACGUGAUGUGGUGAAGGCAGCUCUGGGCUUCCUUAAAGUCAUGCUGCUGCUGGUUGACACCACACUGCUGGCCAAGCACGUCCAGACUAUGCUGGAGGCCAUAGGCAGCCUUUCAGAUGACAUGAGGCGCCACUUCCGCAUGAAGCUGAGAAACCUCUUCACCAGAUUCAUCCGCAAAUUCGGCUUCGAGCUGGUGCAGGGACUGCUGCCAGCUGAGUUCCACAAGGUUCUGGUGAAUAUCCGCAAGGCUGAAGCUCGCAGCCGCAAGCAGCGUGCCCUGAGGCAAGCAGCUGCAGAGACAGAGGAGGAGGAAGCACCAGCCCAGCCCAGAGGAGACAGCAUGGAGGAGAUCCUGGCAGACUCAGAGGAGGAGGAGGAAGAGGAGGAACGGCAACGGGGCAAGGUGCGGAAGAAACAAGCACGGCAGAAGGGCCAAGCGUGGCUGAAAGAAGGGGAAGAGGAUGAGCCUCUCAACUUCCUGGAUCCCAAUGUGUCCCAGCGAGUGCUGGCCACUGAGCCAAGCCUGAAAAGGCCCAGAGGAGUGAAGCACGACUUCCAGGUGUCUGAGGAUGGGCGCCUGAUCAUCCACGAUGAGGAGGAAGAGGUGGACAAUGAUGAAGCCAAAGGAGUGGACGAGGAAGUGGCAGAUGUGCUGCAAGAAGUGGGCCUUCGCAGUAAGAAAAGUCAGAAGCGUCGGUUCAGAGAAGAGCCAGAUGAUGAUGAACCAGAGACUGGGACCUACUCUCAGUACAGAGCUGGAGGCUCUGGGAUCCACCGGCCACUGGACAAGAAGCCAGCCUUUGGUGCAGAGUACAGAUCCAAGAAAGGCAAAGGUGAUGUGAAGAAGAAGGGCCAGCUUGACCCCUAUGCCUACAUCCCCCUGAACAGAGCUAAACUCAACAAAAGGAAGCAGGCAAAAAUGCAAGGUCAGUUCAAGGGCCUGAUGAAGGGUGCCCAGCGUGGGGCCAAGGCUGGGCGCAAGAACCGGCUGAAGGACCGUCGCCCUUGAGGAGCUGUGGAUGCUCUGUGCACCUGCCUGAGGACUGGUGAUAACCUGAGGUGUGCAGGCACAGGGGGACAGGGACUUUGUGAGGGCACACUCCCUAGGAAGGUACCCCUGUGGACUCCUGGCCCUGUCCUCCUGUGCCUAAAAGAAGGUGAUGUAAGCCUGGACUCCUCGUUUCUUUCCUGCAAACACCUCACACAGCAUGUCCCCUGCAGUGCAGCAGGUCCUGGGACGGAGGAGCUGGAGCAGAAGCCCUCUGUGGUGUCUGUCCUGUGGCUGUCACUGGUUCUGCAUCUGCUUUGCCCAUCUCUUACUGCAAGGCAGAAAGGGUUUUGCUGCAAUGUUUUUUUCUGGCUGAAAAACUGCUGCUGUUAACCUCAGUGUCUGGGCUUUUCUCUUACCUAGGAGUGCUGAGAUGGAGCCUUUUCUCUGCUCUGACCACAUCCCAGCAGCACAAGUAAUUCCGGGUCUUUAGCUGCCCAGGUUAGAUGAGCAACUGUUUUCACCCAGUUAUUUCUGCUGAGCCCAAAAGAUGGUGUUUGGAAAAAGCAUGCUGAAGAAAAGAGUGGAGCUGAGGGUAGCAAAUAGAGGAUACAGGUCCCAUGGCUCACAAUGCAAAGAGCAUGUAUUUGUGAACGUAUCUUUCUUCCUCUUUUGUAUUAAAAAGCCUUUAGUCCUUUGUCGUUUCCUAUCAUGGUAGCUUACAUGCUGGAAUUGCAACGCUUUUCAGUCUCCUAAUAAGCUAAAGGGAUUGUGCUUGUUCAGCCUCUUACCGUGGGCUGCUUUCUGUAGGCUGCAAAUCCAGUUUGUGGCUCUCUGCUUCUUUUUGUUUGGUUGUUUUCUUUUUUUUCCAAGAUCCCUUUAAAAGCUGAGGAGCUGUUGUACUGGUAUUGCUAUGCCUUGGCUGGAGAACUAUCUCUAUCCUGCACUGCUCAGGGUCUCUCUUGGACCCUUGAGCCACUGAGGUGCCCAAGUGCUGCUGCUCUGAUCCUGCCAGAAGGCAGCUUGCAGCCUUGGCUUACAGGACAGGCAGCUCCAGCAGAACCUCCUAUCCAUAUUCAGCCAGAGGAGCUGUGUGGCUGCAGCUAAAGCCUCAUUGCCCUGAUACCCUUCAUCUCCUAAGAGGCAGGACAGUGAGAAAAUGUGCAAUUGCUUUCCAAGCUAGCCAACACCUGUAACCUGCAUCUGUGAGCCCAUCACAGCUAUCUUUCUGGUUUUUUUCUUCUCUCCUUGGAGACAAGGCCUGGAGAAGGUAGUUGCUAAUUCAUUUAAAAGCUCCAGAUUACUCACUGCAUUGUUCUUCAUUUGCAUGUUGUUGCUUAAAUUAGUGUAUGCCUGUGUGGAGCAGAAGAGUUUCAUUAGCACAGAGGAUGGUGUUGCCUGAGCCACUGUCCAGAGAACAGAUUC
Lagopus muta (rock ptarmigan) is the source of this 5331-nucleotide RNA transcript. It is a transcript of the gene named ribosomal RNA processing 12 homolog, with no coding region annotated. The transcript has 35 exons. NCBI's taxonomy places the organism in Eukaryota, Metazoa, Chordata, Aves, Galliformes, Phasianidae. The record is from RefSeq and is a predicted model, not a curated record.